AUUGAACGCUGGCGGCAGGCUUAACACAUGCAAGUUGAGCGGGGUGAUGGUGCUUGCACUAUCACUUAGCGGCGGACGGGUGAGUAAUGCUUAGGAAUCUGCCUAUUAGUGGGGGACAACAUCUCGAAAGGGAUGCUAAUACCGCAUACGUCCUACGGGAGAAAGCAGGGGAUCACUUGUGACCUUGCGCUAAUAGAUGAGCCUAAGUCGGAUUAGCUAGUUGGUGGGGGAAAGGCCUACCAAGGCGACGAUCUGUAGCGGGUCUGAGAGGAUGAUCCGCCACACUGGGACUGAGACACGGCCCAGACUCCUACGGGAGGCAGCAGUGGGGAAUAUUGGACAAUGGGGGGAACCCUGAUCCAGCCAUGCCGCGUGUGUGAAGAAGGCCUUAUGGUUGUAAAGCACUUUAAGCGAGGAGGAGGCUCUUUUGGUUAAUACCCUAGAUGAGUGGACGUUACUCGCAGAAUAAGCACCGGCUAACUCUGUGCCAGCCGCCGCCGUAA
This 503-nucleotide ribosomal RNA is filed under the name uncultured bacterium. RNAcentral describes it as "partial 16S ribosomal RNA". It matches the Rfam family "Bacterial small subunit ribosomal RNA", at positions 30 to 523 of the family's 1533-position model. The record is from RNAcentral.